GACGAACGCUGGCGGCGUGCUUAACACAUGCAAGUCGAACGGUGAAGGGACCGGUUUUUGCUGGUUCUGGAUGAGUGGCGAACGGGUGAGUAACACGUGAGUAACCUGCCCCCUUCUUCUGGAUAACCGCAUGAAAGUGUGGCUAAUACGGGAUAUUCUGCGCCUGCUGCAUGGUGGGUGUGGGAAAGAUAUUGUUUCGGUGGGGGAUGGGCUCGCGGCCUAUCAGCUUGUUGGUGGGGUGAUGGCCUACCAAGGCGGUGACGGGUAGCCGGCCUGAGAGGGUGGACGGUCACACUGGGACUGAGACACGGCCCAGACUCCUACGGGAGGCAGCAGUGGGGAAUAUUGCACAAUGGGCGCAAGCCUGAUGCAGCGACGCCGCGUGAGGGAUGGAGGCCUUCGGGUUGUAAACCUCUUUCGCCAGUGAAGCAGGCCUGUCCCUUUUGUGGGUGGGUUGACGGUAGCUGGAUAAGAAGCGCGGGCUAACUACGUG
RNAcentral lists this ribosomal RNA (493 nucleotides) under uncultured bacterium. RNAcentral describes it as "partial 16S ribosomal RNA". It matches the Rfam family "Bacterial small subunit ribosomal RNA", at positions 28 to 507 of the family's 1533-position model. The record is from RNAcentral.